GUAGGGUCCAAGCGUUAAUCGGGAAUUACUGGGGCGUAAAGCGUGCGCAGGCGGUUGUGCAAGACCGAUGUGAAAUCCCCGGGGGCUUAACCUGGGGAAUUGCAUUGGUGACUGCACGGCUAGAGUGUGUCAGAGGGGGGUAGAAUUCCACGUGUAGCAGUGAAAUGCGUAGAGAUGUGGAGGAAUACCGAUGGCGAAGGCAGCCCCCUGGGAUAACACUGACGCUCAUGCACGAAAGCGUGGGGAGCAAACAGGAUUAGAUACCCUGGUAGUCCACGCCCUAAACGAUGUCAACUAGUCGUUGGGGAUUCAUUGCCUUAGUAACGUAGCUAACGCGUGAAGUUGACCGCCUGGGGAGUACGGUCGCAAGAUUA
Molecule: ribosomal RNA, 374 nt
Filed under: uncultured organism
Description: partial 16S ribosomal RNA
Rfam family: Bacterial small subunit ribosomal RNA
Source: RNAcentral